UCGCCGUUUCAGAGACAAAAACUCUGCACGGUUUAGCCUAGAUGGACCGCCGCCGCCGCCCCUUGUUCCCCACAUCGGCGGUGCCGGCGCCGCCGCUGGAGGACGAAAAUCUUCUCCUAGAGAUCCUGCUCCGCCUCCCUCCAUUACCAUCCUCGCUCCCCCGAGCUUGCCUCGUCUGCAAGCGUUGGCGCGGCCUCGUCUCCGACCCCAAAUUUCUCCGUCGCUUCCGCGCCCACCACUGCAAACCCCCCGCUCCUAGGCCUUUUCGUCAGAGGCAUCGACGGGCCCUCAUUCACGCCCACACUGGUCACGCCCUACCGCGUCCCCGCGGCGCGGUUCUCGCUGCCGCAGAGCCGCGGGGAGAGCUAGGCCUUCGUCGGCUGCCGCCACGGCCUCGCCCUCCUCAUCAACCAUACGCGUCUCGAGGCCGUCGUUUGGGACUCCAUCACCGGCCACCGGCGCUGCGUGGCCUUUCCACCGGGCAUCCACACCUACCAUUGGGUCCGAAGCGCGGCGCUGCUCUGCCCUUCCGGCACAGACCACGUGCACGGCCACGACUGGGGCUCGCGCCCUUUCAAGCUGGUCUUGGUGGGCGUCGGCAUUAAUGCUGAGCCCUCUGCAUUUGCUUGCAUCUACGAUUCAGAAUCCGGUGAAUGGGGAAAUAUCAUCUCAGCAGGGACUGCACAACAUGUUAUUUAUGCAAUGCGUGCCAGCGUCCUGGUUGGGAAUGCACUUCAUUGGUUGCUUAUUGGGGAUGGAAUUCUCAAAUUUGAUUUUGAGAGGCAGAGCUUAGUGGUGAUCGAGAGACCAUUAGUAGUCUGGUGCGUCCGCUUUCAGAUAUUGCGGACACAUGAAAGUAGGCUUGGCUUUGCCAUGUGGACAGAGAUGGGCAUGGAAAUAUGGGAGAGGAAGCUCAAUUCUGAUGGUGCCCUUGGAUGGGUGCUUCAGCAGAUCAUCCAACUUGACAAGCUCCUUCCACCAGGAUCGUUGAGAGAUACAGGUUUCUGGAAUCUUUCUGUCGAUGGAUAUUGGCGGUUCUUUCUUGGACCAACUUGAGUUGAUGCAACUCAGAAGUAUUUCUGGAAUACGUCACAGCCACUUUUAUCCCUACACAAAUUUCUAUACUGCAGGCAGAGGGAUUGGUGAUGGAAAUGAUGGGGUUAAAAUUUUGUACAAUACAUGAGACGAUCUUCCUGAAGGAUCUGCUGAUGUGCUGUGUCGACUGAAAAGGAUCCCUCUGCGCUUUUGAAGUGCCAACAUGAAGAAUUUUCUAUGUUCCAUUCUUUCGUGGCCCUGAUAUUGUUUAUGCGGUAAAGGGUGCAUAUGGCCAUCUUGCAACUGUCAACCACAGCGUGUGUUUUAAACGUCUAAUUUUGGUUGAAUUCACCAUAAUAAUGGUUUAUCCUUGUCAAAUUUGAGGACCAGCCAAAAUCUGGGUCCACUUUUGUUAUCGCAGUACAUUGAGCAACCGGCAUCUGUUGAAUCGUUUCACUGUUAAUUUGAUCUGCUGCCUAUGCCACAUGCUUUCAGUUUGAUCCAGACACAAUUUUGGUGUUGACGUUUUGUAUGUUGAAGCAGGCUGAGUAUGGUUCACAGUAGUAGUAACUAGCAAACAGAAAACUUUACAAGAUGCUCGGACAAAAUAAAUUUCAUCAUCCAAUCCAAUCCAAUGGUGCAGGACCACCACUUUGGCGGUAACUUUGGUGGAUGUAUCCAUCAAUGUCGAUGCGCCGUGAGCAUUUCGCUUUCUCCCCUCCCUUUUCUCCCAUUCCCGGAUGGAGAAGCAUCGACCACAGUGUCACUACCCGCAGAUCAGCUGGAAGCAGACUGAACGCUCCUUGUUCCGUCCAUGAAGCUGAAAUUCCAACUUUUCGCCUCAAAAAAGCAGGAAUGGCGGCACGCCGCGUCCGGAAAGAGAAAGGUGUGCGAGAAAAGAAUGGCCCAACAUCAAAGAGGGCCAGAGAUCAUAUUCGUCGAGUUGUCGCGUGAGCGAGCGAGGGAAGAUAAGAUAAGAUGCCUUGGGCCGCAACAAGUUGCAGCACAUAAGACAGUAUGGCCGCAGCAGCUAGCGACGCUUGCCUCAAAACGCAGAGAGACGGACAAGGACGGAGCACGGCCGGUUUGGUUGCAACGUCAAUUUUGUUGGGCUUAGGCUAAGGGUGACGUGGAAAGAGCAGUGGAGAACAUGGAACCGUGUACUGUAUGCAUGACAUGUGAUCGAACGGAAUCACAUCACAAGGUUCCAUGAUUUCAUUUAUCGGAAUGAGGAAACAACAUUAUUUUCAGAGCACACUGAGGACUCUUACUCUUAUCUGAACGAGUGAAGUGAAAGACACGCCCCAAAAACAGA
This is a non-coding RNA of Triticum urartu, 2350 nucleotides long. Lineage: Eukaryota; Viridiplantae; Streptophyta; Magnoliopsida; Poales; Poaceae. The record is from RefSeq and is a predicted model, not a curated record.